This is a non-coding RNA of Peromyscus maniculatus bairdii (prairie deer mouse), 920 nucleotides long. The record is from RefSeq and is a predicted model, not a curated record. Lineage: Eukaryota; Metazoa; Chordata; Mammalia; Rodentia; Cricetidae.
UAGCUGCAGAGCUGGAGAGGCAAGGGGUUUCCUGGUGAUGCAUUCCUAUUCAGAAGCAUGGUGUCAAUUCAGAGGAUUCUGGGAAAUCCUUUAGGCAUGAAGCAAUUGAGUUAGUUUGGGGUUUGACUUGAAGGAGUGAUCAUAAAGAGAAUGAUAACUUUGGUGUUUGUUGCAAUGGAGAAAAGACUCUGUGAGGAAGGAAAAGUAACUGGAAAUCAAUACCAUCUUUGGAGAGAAUCCCCUUUUGCCCAUUGUUGCAAGACUCAGAUGUUUGUUUGAGCAUCUCACUCCAGCAACAUCCUUCCAGAUUCUCAUGAUUUGAACACUAGAUCUCCGCUGCAUGCUCAUGUUUUUGUUCCUUGUUCCCUGGCUUGCUGUGCCAUUUUGGGAGGCUGUGGAAUCUCUACUGUUGAGACCUAACUUGCAAAAGUAAGCAGUCCUCUCAAAGGUAUGAAUUUCUUAUGAGCCAGAAACCAUGACCUAUGUAAGAGGAUAUUAAAGGAAGGACACAACUUCCUUGUGAUAGUUCAGACUGCUUUCAGCUACUACCACAGAACAAGUGACAAGGCAGUAAUACAUUCUGCUGGAGAGCUCACUGAUAAGAACCCUGUGAAGAUGCUCUUGGUCUCUGUGGAUGCUUUGCUGUUUACACUUACCCUUUCUCAUCCUACAUCUGAAUAAGAAAGUUGAAUGGAAAACUUCAAUAUCUGAAGACACAAAAUGGAUUUUGAUGUUGAAAAAGACUUUUAAAUGGAGGAAGUCACGGAUAACAAUUCCAUAAAUAAGGUGGUUCUGAAUCUCAGUAUGUGAGACUUGAAUGAGAUAGUACAGACUUACAACGACUGACAACAUAUGACAAAUUUCAUGUUUUCAAUAACAUAAUUACAAUAAAUGCAAUGAAAUAAAAAUUUGUAAGUCUA